Molecule: ribosomal RNA, 497 nt
Filed under: uncultured bacterium
Lineage: Bacteria
Description: partial 16S ribosomal RNA
Rfam family: Bacterial small subunit ribosomal RNA
Source: RNAcentral
GAUGAACGCUGGCGGCGUGCCUAAUACAUGCAAGUCGAGCGAACAGACGAGGAGCUUGCUCCUCUGACGUUAGCGGCGGACGGGUGAGUAACACCUGGAUAACCUACCUAUAAGACUGGGAUAACUUCGGGAAACCGGUGCUAAUACCGGAUAAUAUAUUUAACCGCAUGGUUCAAUAGUGUAAGACGGGUUUUGUGUCACUUAUAGAUGGAUCCGCGCCGCCUUAGCUAGUUGGUAAGGUAACGGCUUACCAAGGCAACGAUGCGUAGCCGACCUGAGAGGGUGAUCGGCCACACUGGAACUGAGACACGGUCCAGACUCCUACGGGAGGCAGCAGUAGGGAAUCUUCCGCAAUGGGCGAAAGCCUGACGGAGCAACGCCGCGUGAGUGAUGAAGGUCUUCGGAUCGUAAAACUCUGUUAUUAGGGAAGAACAAAUGUGUAAGUAACUAUGCACGUCUUGACGGUACCUAAUCAGAAAGCCACGGCUAACUACGUG